GCCCGUCUAGCUCAGUCGGCAGAGCGCAAGGCUCUUAACCUUAUGGUCGUGCCACGGUGGGCG
This 63-nucleotide transfer RNA is filed under the name Naegleria gruberi. It matches the Rfam family "tRNA". Rfam says of the family: Transfer RNA (tRNA) molecules are approximately 80 nucleotides in length. Their secondary structure includes four short double-helical elements and three loops (D, anti-codon, and T loops). Lineage: Eukaryota; Heterolobosea; Eutetramitea; Acrasida; Naegleriidae. The record is from Rfam by way of RNAcentral.